AUGGGCGCGCGAACGCACCCGUAACUUACCGUUCGUGUGUAGUGUUGUCCCAUGGACGAGGAAAAAGCGAAAAAGAUGUAUAGUGGGACAAAUCGGGAACGAUUGUCAGGAAUUUCUAUACAUGUAUCCAAAAUGAUUCGAAUUUAUUAUUGGAAGUAUCUCGUUCCGUUUUCUAGAGACUAUAUAUUAUAUGAACAUUUAAUUUAAACUUUAUCAGUUACUGCUGUUGAUUCUAAAUAAUAUUGGUCCCAAGUGACGUUACCUCUCAGACUUCGAAAUCUCCGACUUUGCAAAUCCAUAAGAGUUUCAGACAGAGAAAUCCAUAUGAUGUAAUUUUGGAAAGUCGCGAAGAAGAGUUCUGAGAUCUUCGCCGGAUAUAUUUUAAUACGAUUUCAUCAAAUAUAUACCGACGGAAACGAGCUACAGGUGAAUCACACGAGAAAUAAAUCACCGGUUUCCGUCGAAGACUGCGUUCCGAUAUUCGGUACUGAAAAUAAGAUGAAUGAUAGAUUUUCAGUACUGACAGUGGAUACCGGAACGUAGCCUUAAGAAGAUCCGCUGUCAGCGGAAUGUAAUCUUAUAUUUGUUUGUGCGCAACGUAGAGAUAUGCUCACGACUAAGUGCGUGCAUGUGCGUCAUGAUGCGCGUCAUUAGGUAAAAACGCGACGGACGAGCGAUCUUCGUUCGAAUCCGCGCGGAAAUCAACAUGGAGGAUCCUCCGCGCGGGUGACAGAUCUCUUAUUAUUACUGAAACGUCGCUUGUUCGGGAACAGAUCUUUCCGAGCUACUGGAGCUACGGUAACAAAUGCACCGAUAAGAUGGCUGAUGGAAGGCUGGUCCGACCAGGCGCUGCAUCUAAAAGGUCUUUGAUAGAAGCCGGUGCUUAAUUCGCUCUUACGCGGGAUAACGAGGGAUAACGAGAGGUGCAACGGACGGACAACGUGUGUCCGAGGUACGCGCGCGCUAUUACAUUAAUAGCCGUCACAUUUGCACUACGCCUCGCACUAUGCGACCGGCUAUUAUGUCAAUAGCCGUCGAUAUAUUUACAUUACGAGAAUAUACGCGCUAUAGCUAUUAUAUCAAUAGCCGUCACAUUUUACACUAAAUGUACGUCUGGUCUAAGCAAUACUCAUUGACAUUGGUAUUGACAGUGCUUCGUCUCAUUGUCGGCUUGCAUUGUUCGGCGUAGAGACGUCUCUCUUCAUCGUCGUCGUUGUCGUAGAAUAGCUGGCGAUUAAGCUGCCGUCACUAUCAAUUGAACGGUGUGACAGCAUCGAGAUAAGAAAAUCGCACGAUCUUCGAGCGGUCUCACGGAGGAUCGAGCUCUAUUUCAACUCGUGUUUACGACGGAAAGCUGACAUCACGAAGAAUGAGACGCGAUUGAGAAGGAAGGCUCGCGUUCAUAAUAUAGUUGUAAUAAUACUGAUAAAAAUAUGACGCGUGCGUAUUUAAAGCUGCAAAGGUGAUUUGGAAACACUUGAAAUUCACUGAUAAACGUAUAGCGUAUAAAACAUGCGUUACGUCGGUAUCGCGAUAAAAAACGAAGUAUCGAUACAAAGUUCGCAAGGCUUCGGCCACUUACUCUCAUCUUGACAGUUUGUUUUUUCUCAAAUACAAAGAAGAUACCACGUAGCGUGUUAAUUUCAUGUAUGUUCUUUAAACGUACGUAACGUUUCACAAUCGUAUUACAUACGUUUAAAGAACGUAUACGAAACUAACUAUACUGCCGGGGAUAUAUUCCCUUGAUUAUAACGGCAAUUUGCUUAAUUUAUUUACCACGGAUUUUAUUUUGAUGCAAAUUAAUCAAUUUAAUUCGAUAAAGCUCUGCUUUCCUCGUACUUCAUGUCAGACAUUUCGGAUUCUUCGAAGAAUAUUUUACCAUUAAUAACUAUUAGCACGGGAGAUUUUGUCAACUUUCCCGUGUGAUCCGUUUAAACAGAGUCUUUACUUUUUUCGAGAGUGGCGCGGACUUCACGCUGUUGCGCAUGUGUUGCGAAUCUGCAUUGAAAAUACUUCGUGUUCAGGUUGGUGGCGCGAAAACGGACGGCUAACUCGAAUGGGAAAGGUCGGUGCGAGUGCAACUGCACCCGACAUGUCUGUCUAACGUAGCGGCGGAGAGCAGAUAGUUAGACGCGUUAGGUGCCGCGCUGCUCCAAAUGCAGCCAUGCGUUAUCGCGUACACGCUACUUUCCUUUCGAACAGCACGGCCUUUUGCUUUCUUCGCGACUCGCCGCGGGACGACAGGGUGGUUGGGCCCCCGCACACAUGCAUUCAGGACCGACUGUGGGAAUUUUCGUGCCCCGCGUACUUCGAGUUCGCAAAAAUGCUCGUCCGGUGCGUCCCCGAAUUCUAAUAGCGUCGCGACGUCACCGGACGUCAAAUGUUGGAAACAAUACAUGGCCAGCGCACGUGGUAAUAUUUACGAGAUACACGUAAGGUUAUUUUCGCCGGACGGCUUAAAGGCCGAGACGUCGCGAACCAGUCGAGCGCCGACAACUUCCUGGAAUGUUCCACGCUUUCUACCUGCGCGUCAAAACGACGAGCUAAGAACGCGUUUAACACCCGGCAAAUGGCAUACGCAUUUACUGGUACGUCAUCGAUGAGUACUGUAGCGCAGAAAUGACAUAGAUGAUGUGUACCAAGCUGGGGCUUCCUCAUCAUUUCUGCUCUUUAGUACUUUCGUUUUUUUUUAUUUUCAAUUGAUCACCUACUUAGUAUCUUUCCGUUGCAAGUACAAUUAUUGUUUCAGCACUACCGGCAAAAAUAUUGCUCAAUGUUUAUAUAUCGACGUUUCGAAGCGUCGUCCGUGCUUGCACUGGCGGUCAUCACGCGAAUAUCAAAGCGACUUGACCCUGCGCCAAGUGCAACGAAGUGACGGAUCGACGCAAGGGCGGUCUGUGAACUGUCCUGCAAGCACUUGCGGCUUACAUCAAUUUGUACGGAUUAUUUUUAAGAAUUUAGCUUGUUAUCGAAUUGAUAUUGUUAUGAUGGAUUAUCGUUAUUUUUUACACGCUUUUACACGCGUCGCUGCUCCCUAUGUAUUUUCUGCCUUAGAAAGUUGUGUCUGUUUCUGAUAUCGCUUGAGUUGAAAAAUGGAAAUAAUAAUAUAUUACGUAGAUGUAAUUGUCAAGGUUAAUGCGUAGAUUUGACUGUGUCGCUUUCCUUUCGUUAACGAUUUAUCGAAAGUAAUAACAUAAAUAAUAGUUUAAGAUCGGAUUCAGGAUGAUAUUCUUACUUGACAAUUUUGCGGGAACAUGUAUUGUCAAGUGAUAGAAAUUAUUCUAGAUUUUGGGAUACUUACACAAACCAAUAUAUAAGCAUGAUAAAACAUUUUGAAGAAAAAUCUUAACUAAAACACUGAUGCUUAUUUUCCAAUUAAGGACGAAAAAUAUGUUUGUUUUCAGGUGUGCUCAGAGAAGUCUUCUUAGAAAAAAAUUAUAACAAAGCGUCGCUUAUCGUCUAGUUCUUCGAUCCGAGGUUUCGCACAUUUCGCCCAGCAUUUCGGAGCGCAAAAGGACUAUUCUUAUCGCGAUGCGUCAUUCUUCCAACUAAAACGACAAUACAAAUAACGUAACACACGUUAAAACAACACGAAAUGACAUGUUCUCCCUCUUCUUCUGUUUCCCCGUCUUUCGUGCUCCCUCUCUCGAGAAUUAUAUUGAAUUCAUUGAAAUCUACGUUCGUCAGUCACGAAAGCGACUCGUGAAUUACUGAGGACAUUCCCUCCCAGGCGUGUAACAGCAAGUCACGUGCAGUACCUUAAGUGAAAUAACGUAGUGUUGCUUGUUGUAGCGAAAAGAAAGAAACACUGGCGAACGAAAGAAGGGAGCAAAAAGCUUGGGAAGAAGGAGAAACAAAGGAAGAAAAUUCUAAAGAGAGAAUAAGGAAAAUUCUAAGUAUGUUUAUAGAAGUAACUUGCAUCAUAAGCAAAGCAAUCGGUCAGCCAGCCGUAUAUAGAGUACCCCAAGCCCGCCGAUGCCUUUUUACCGAUUUUGGAAAGAGUGGUUGCGCUUGAUACUUGCAGCAUACAGAUUCCAGAAUCGAAAUGUGGGAUUCGACGAAGAAGCCGAAGUAUGUGUCACCAAUGCGGAUCCCUUUUUCGCCCGUUCCUCGUUACGCCGUUGUUUCCCCCCACUUCCUCCGAUUGCUUUCGUUGACGACAUCGUGGACGGCUGGAAACGCCGACGUAAGAAUGGGAGCACGUCCGUGUAUAUGCAUUCGUGCAUGAAUUAAUGUCGCACAUGCCGAUGUCGAGAGCGGUGGAUAACGGGCGGCGCGACACGUGAUUCGCACGGCGCGUAAUGUGCGCGGUAACGUGACUAGGUCUAUGCGCGUUUGUCUUUCUUCGUGGCUCGCGCUCCAACGAAUCCGAGACGAUCGCGAAGAUGCGCGUCGCCGAUAUGACUCAGUUUAUCAAUGCUUCGCUUAUCGCGGCAAGUUGUUAUGACGUUGACUGACACGACGGAAAUUUACCUUCAAUUUAUCAUCGACGCGUCUAGAUUGAUUUGUUAUUGGCGAAUUAACGCUAAACACACAACGAUCAGUAGUGGAAUUCAGAUAGGAAUAAAAAUGCGCGUCGAAGAAUUGAUCGCGGUGAGAAAUAUCUGUGUUAUGUUCCGGCUUGACGACUUGUAAGAACGAUGUAAUAAUUUGUACACAUUGCGGUUUUCAUCACAACAAUUGCACAUUGUUUCUUUCCUUUUUUAUGAACUUCUGAAUGUACGAAAUCUCGAGUUACAUAAACCCCUAAGUAUCUCCCA
Molecule: long non-coding RNA, 4760 nt
Organism: Dinoponera quadriceps
Lineage: Eukaryota; Metazoa; Arthropoda; Insecta; Hymenoptera; Formicidae
Exons: 2
Source: RefSeq, a predicted model, not a curated record